GACGAACGCUGGCGGCGUGCUUAACACAUGCGAGUCGAACGGAAAGGCCCUGCUUUUGUGGGGUGCUCGAGUGGCGAACGGGUGAGUAACACGUGAGUAACCUGCCCUUGACUUUGGGAUAACUUCAGGAAACUGGGGCUAAUACCGGAUAGGAGCUCCUGCUGCAUGGUGGGGGUUGGAAAGUUUCGGCGGUUGGGGAUGGACUCGCGGCUUAUCAGCUUGUUGGUGGGGUAGUGGCUUACCAAGGCUUUGACGGGUAGCCGGCCUGAGAGGGUGACCGGCCACAUUGGGACUGAGAUACGGCCCAGAGUCCUACGGUAGGCAGCAGUGGGGAAUAUUGCACAAUGGGCGGAAGCCUGAUGCAGCAACGCCGCGUGCGGGAUGACGGCCUUCGGGUUGUAAACCGCUUUCGCCUGUGACGAAGCGUGAGUGACGGUAAUGGGUAAAGAAGCACCGGCUAACUACGUG
This 468-nucleotide ribosomal RNA is filed under the name uncultured bacterium. Its description in RNAcentral is "partial 16S ribosomal RNA". It matches the Rfam family "Bacterial small subunit ribosomal RNA", at positions 28 to 507 of the family's 1533-position model. The record is from RNAcentral.